Molecule: ribosomal RNA, 458 nt
Filed under: uncultured bacterium
Lineage: Bacteria
Description: partial 16S ribosomal RNA
Rfam family: Bacterial small subunit ribosomal RNA
Source: RNAcentral
CCUACGGGUGGCAGCAGUGGGGAAUAUUGCACAAUGGGGGAAACCCUGAUGCAGCGACGCCGCGUGAGUGAAGAAGUAAUUCGUGACGUAAAGCUCUAUCAGCAGGGAAGAAACACUGACCUUACGGUCAGCAGACGGUACCUGAGUAAGAAGCCCCGGCUAACGACGUGCAAGCAGCCGCGGGAAUACGUAGGGGGCAAGCGUUAUCCGGAUUUACUGGGUGGAAAGGGAGCGUAGACGGCGAUGCAAGUCUGAAGUGAAAGGCGGGGGCCCAACCCCCGGACUGCUUUGGAAACUGGAUGGCUGGAGUGCAGGAGAGGUAAGUGGAAUUCCUAGUGUAGCGGUGAAAUGCGUAGAUAUUAGGAGGAACACCAGUGGCGAAGGCGGCUUACUGGACUGUAACUGACACUGAUGCUCGAAAGUGUGGGUAUCAAACAGGAUUAGAUACCCUUGUAGUC